Molecule: unclassified non-coding RNA, 261 nt
Filed under: Hevea brasiliensis (rubber tree)
Lineage: Eukaryota; Viridiplantae; Streptophyta; Magnoliopsida; Malpighiales; Euphorbiaceae
Source: RNAcentral
AACAAACUUUGACUCUCCAUUGACAACAGCGUCAGGUGCUAGUGCCAACUGGUUCCUCACAAUUUCACACACUUUGUCCAAUGUCUCUGGUUUGGCCGCACAGGAAACACGGAAACGAGAUGCAUCCUUUUUCAAUCUAAGAGAGGGGAAGCUUCUCCCGCUAAUGGGAAGUGAAACUGAUCUCAGACUAGAGAUACCAAUGCUUGAUGUCUGGGUGGUAAGCUUAAGAGAGCUUGAGAAAGAGGUCAUGGAGAUUGAAGC